This 593-nucleotide ribosomal RNA is filed under the name uncultured bacterium. Its description in RNAcentral is "bacterial SSU rRNA". It matches the Rfam family "Bacterial small subunit ribosomal RNA", at positions 8 to 612 of the family's 1533-position model. The record is from RNAcentral.
AGAGUUUGAUCCUGGCUCAGAGUGAACGCUGGCGGCGUGCCUAACACAUGCAAGUCGAACGAGGACGGAUAUAAGUUUACUUAUAUUGUCAGCUAAGUGGCGCACGGGUGAGUAAUAUAUAGUUAAUCUGCCCUGAAGAAGAGAAUAAUUGUUGGAAACGACUUGUAAUGCUCUAUAUGCCUUUAUCACAUAAGUGAGCAAGGGAAAUAUUUAUAGCUUCGGGAUGAGACUGUACGGUAUCAGCUAGUUGGUGAGGUAAUGGCUCACCAAGGCUAUGACAUCUAACUGGUUUGAGAGGAUGAUCAGUCACACUGGAACUGAGACACGGUCCAGACUCCUACGGGAGGCAGCAGUGGGGAAUAUUGCACAAUGGAGGAAACUCUGAUGCAGCAACGCCGCGUGGAGGAUGACACAUUUCGGUGCGUAAACUCCUUUUAUUAGGGAAGAUAAUGACGGUACCUAAUGAAUAAGCACCGGCUAACUCCGUGCCAGCAGCCGCGGUAAUACGGGGGGUGCAAGCGUUACUCGGAAUCACUGGGCGUAAAGAGCAUGUAGGCUGAUUAGUAAGUUGGAAGUGAAAUCCUAUGGCUCAA